This 595-nucleotide ribosomal RNA is filed under the name Ochrolechia yasudae. Its description in RNAcentral is "eukaryotic LSU rRNA". The stretch from base 241 to 394 matches the Rfam family "5.8S ribosomal RNA". The record is from RNAcentral. Lineage: Eukaryota; Fungi; Ascomycota; Lecanoromycetes; Pertusariales; Ochrolechiaceae.
CCUGCGAAGACCCGUGCUAAUUUUGUGAUUACAGGUGAACCUGCGGAAGGAUCAUUACCGAGAUAGGGUCCCCUCGGGGCCCGACCCUCCCACCCUUUGUGUAUAUACCUCUGUUGCUUCGGCGGGCCCGUGGGCUCUGUUGUGGGGCUCGCCACCGGCCUUGGCUGGUCCGCGCCCGCCGGAAGCCCCCCCUCAAACCUCGUGUAACCAGUGAAGUCUGAGUGCAAACGUAAUAAGCAAAACUUUCAACAACGGAUCUCUUGGUUCUGGCAUCGAUGAAGAACGCAGCGAAAUGCGAUAAGUAAUGUGAAUUGCAGAAUUCAGUGAAUCAUCGAAUCUUUGAACGCACAUUGCGCCCCCUGGUAUUCCGGGGGGCAUGCCUGUCCGAGCGUCAUUACACCCCUCAAGCCUUGCUUGGUGUUGAGCCUUCGUCCCCCUGGGGGCGGGCUCUCAAGUCAGUGGCGGAGUCACCGGGCUUCAAGCGUAGUAACAACCGUCCCGCUUUGGAAGACCCCGGGGGCGGCUUGCCAGUCAAACAACCUCUCCAACAGUUGACCUCGGAUCAGGUAGGGAUACCCGCUGAACUUAAGCAUAU